Molecule: ribosomal RNA, 576 nt
Filed under: uncultured bacterium
Lineage: Bacteria
Description: bacterial SSU rRNA
Rfam family: Bacterial small subunit ribosomal RNA
Source: RNAcentral
CCUACGGGAGGCAGCAGUAAGGAAUAUUGGUCAAUGGGCGCAAGCCUGAACCAGCCAUGCCGCGUGCAGGAAGACGGCCCUAUGGGUUGUAAACUGCUUUUGAACAAGAGAAAACCUCGGUACGUGUACCGAGCUGAUAGUAUUGUUAGAAUAAGCAUCGGCUAACUUCGUGCCAGCAGCCGCGGUAAGACGAAGGAUGCAAGCGUUAUCCGGAUUCAUUGGGUUUAAAGGGUGCGUAGGCGGCCUGAUAAGUCAGUGGUGAAAUCUCUCAGCUUAACUGAGAAACUGCCAUUGAUACUGUCGGGCUUGAGUACAGAUGAUGUGGGCGGAAUAUGACAUGUAGUGGUGAAAUACUUAGAUAUGUCAUAGAACACCGAUUGCGAAGGCAGCUCACAAAACUGUAACUGACGCUGAGGCACGAAAGUGCGGGGAUCAAACAGGAUUAGAUACCCUGGUAGUCCGCACCGUAAACGAUGAUUACUCGUUGUUGGCAAUAUGACCGUCAGCGACCAAGCGAAAGCGAUAAGAAUCCACCUGGGGAGUACGCCGGCACGGUGAAACUUAAGGAAUUGACGG